UCCCUGGUGGCUCAGAUGGUAAAGAAUCUGCCUGCAAUGCAGGCGACCCGGGUUCGAUCCCUGGGUUGGGAA
This 72-nucleotide transfer RNA is filed under the name Bos indicus (zebu cattle). It matches the Rfam family "tRNA". From Rfam's summary of the family: Transfer RNA (tRNA) molecules are approximately 80 nucleotides in length. Their secondary structure includes four short double-helical elements and three loops (D, anti-codon, and T loops). Further hydrogen bonds mediate the characteristic L-shaped molecular structure. tRNAs have two regions of fundamental functional importance: the anti-codon, which is responsible for specific mRNA codon recognition, and the 3' end, to which the tRNAs corresponding amino acid is attached (by aminoacyl-tRNA synthetases). tRNAs cope with the degeneracy of the genetic code in two manners: having more than one tRNA (with a specific anti-codon) for a particular amino acid; and 'wobble' base-pairing, i.e. permitting non-standard base-pairing at the 3rd anti-codon position. Lineage: Eukaryota; Metazoa; Chordata; Mammalia; Artiodactyla; Bovidae. The record is from Rfam by way of RNAcentral. RNAcentral also lists the same sequence under 1 other name.